GAUUUCUGGCGAACCGUUGCGGCCCGUGGUCGUUUCGGCCGUGUGUGCCGUGCCGUGUUUGUCAUCCUUCCAGAGAGCUGCGUCUACCAUUUACUUGGCCGGACGUACGCGAUCUGGAUCUAUUACUUUGAAAAAAUUAGAGUGUUUAAAGCAGGCUUUCGCUAUGAAUACAUUAGCAUGGAAUAAUAAUAUAGGACUUUGAUUCUAUUUUGUUGGUUUCUAGGAUUGAAGUAAUGAUUGAUAGGGAUAGUUGGGGGUGCUAGUAUUCCGCGGCCAGAGGUGAAAUUCUUGGAUUCGCGGAAGACUAACUACUGCGAAAGCAUU
This 324-nucleotide ribosomal RNA is filed under the name uncultured Trinematidae. RNAcentral's name for it is "SSU rRNA". The stretch from base 108 to 324 matches the Rfam family "Eukaryotic small subunit ribosomal RNA", at positions 737 to 955 of the family's 1831-position model. Lineage: Eukaryota; Cercozoa; Imbricatea; Euglyphida; Trinematidae. The record is from RNAcentral.